Molecule: ribosomal RNA, 600 nt
Filed under: Streptomyces sp. ACS29
Lineage: Bacteria; Bacillati; Actinomycetota; Actinomycetes; Kitasatosporales; Streptomycetaceae
Description: bacterial SSU rRNA
Rfam family: Bacterial small subunit ribosomal RNA
Source: RNAcentral
AACGGGGUCUAAUACCGGAUACCACUCCUGCCUGCAUGGGCGGGGGUUGAAAGCUCCGGCGGUGAAGGAUGAGCCCGCGGCCUAUCAGCUUGUUGGUGGGGUAAUGGCCCACCAAGGCGACGACGGGUAGCCGGCCUGAGAGGGCGACCGGCCACACUGGGACUGAGACACGGCCCAGACUCCUACGGGAGGCAGCAGUGGGGAAUAUUGCACAAUGGGCGAAAGCCUGAUGCAGCGACGCCGCGUGAGGGAUGACGGCCUUCGGGUUGUAAACCUCUUUCAGCAGGGAAGAAGCGAAAGUGACGGUACCUGCAGAAGAAGCGCCGGCUAACUACGUGCCAGCAGCCGCGGUAAUACGUAGGGCGCAAGCGUUGUCCGGAAUUAUUGGGCGUAAAGAGCUCGUAGGCGGCUUGUCACGUCGGAUGUGAAAGCCCGAGGCUUAACCUCGGGUCUGCAUUCGAUACGGGCUAGCUAGAGUGUGGUAGGGGAGAUCGGAAUUCCUGGUGUAGCGGUGAAAUGCGCAGAUAUCAGGAGGAACACCGGUGGCGAAGGCGGAUCUCUGGGCCAUUACUGACGCUGAGGAGCGAAAGCGUGGGGAGC